This 608-nucleotide long non-coding RNA is filed under the name Homo sapiens (human). Its description in RNAcentral is "non-protein coding TMEM161B-AS1:2". The record is from RNAcentral. Lineage: Eukaryota; Metazoa; Chordata; Mammalia; Primates; Hominidae.
CCCUUCUCCAGAGCGCCGUCGACCCCACGCCACGCAGAGGUGAAGAUACGCAGGACGUCCUCUAAAGCAACUUCCGUGGGUGCCAGGUUGUGGGCUGGGGGCGGUGCUGACCUUGAGAGAGCGGAGGAGGCGCAGGCGCAGCACAGUUUAAACUUGAUUUUGUGAGGGGACGAACAGCGUGACAAUUAAAAGAAGAUCUGGGAAUCGAAUACCCAUCUCGAGUUCUGGAUAUGUGCUCUGAGAAGGUGCCCAUGUCACCGACCACACUGGAGGCCAAUGCAGAUACUGGGGGAAGGUUCCAUGGUAGCUAAGUGUGGACAAGCUAAUCACUGAAGUUCCCUGAUGCAGAGUUGAUAAUCUCUCUAGAGUUGGAUGAAAGACUGUGCUGCCUUGAAGCUCUGAGAGAUGCCAUGCCAAUUCAAGGCAGGGUCUUUAUUGUUGAAACUCUUGCGUAAUGACAUCUUUAUUCAGGUGAAAAUACAGGAUGAAUUUCAACUAUAUGAUAUUGUUUAUGUUCCUCAGACAUGUUAUUUGUCUUUACAAAGAUUGGUUUCAAUAAACUGUGUGACUGAUAUUAAAUAAACAUGGAAUUUUACACAUUCAUAAUA